Macrosteles quadrilineatus (aster leafhopper) is the source of this 3461-nucleotide RNA transcript. It is a transcript of the gene named zinc finger protein 85-like, with no coding region annotated. Lineage: Eukaryota; Metazoa; Arthropoda; Insecta; Hemiptera; Cicadellidae. The transcript has 4 exons. The record is from RefSeq and is a predicted model, not a curated record.
CUCAAUCGUUCAUUCCAUUCCUAAUUGAUUUGAUUUAUUUCAUUCAUUAAUCAUUACUUGGUCAGAGUCAAUUCAAAAUUCACAGUAAAGUAAAGGCGACUAGAUGUAUUACAGUAAUAAAAAACAAAAAAAAUCUUAGUUAAUUUGGUUUUUGUGACAGCAGAAAACUUUUUGCACCAUUGUUUUCAGGUCUCAAGUUGCAUUAUCUGUUGAGGAAGAGUUCUCAGUGUUGCAUCCUAUGUUGAUCGGGCCUACAUAGCCUAAAACAGGUCGAGACAAAAAAGAAUUAAAACAACAGAUUAAAUUGAUUUAAGAAGUAAUAUAAUGCAAAAGAAGAAUAAAGAAGACACGAGAAAAAGGAAAAUCCCUCAAGUGUAUUGUAAAAAUAUCUAAUAUGCAUUGCAAGAUUUGACUAUGAGGUGAUUCAAUGUUGAGUGAAAGAGGUAGCCUAUCAUGUAACUACUAGCCACUUAACAAGGCCUACAAACAAGUUUUAGUUACAUACGAAUUUAUGACUUUUCUAAUUAGUUACUAGCUUGUGUGAUAAGAUUUAUAGAUAUAAAAAUUGCAAGAGUAGAAAUGUUAACUUGCUUCAAAAAAUAUCCUCUUAAGUGUCCAAUAUGUGUGCAAAGUUGUUCAACUCCAUCCGCAAUGAAGGCUCAUAUAUUGUAUCACACGGGAGAGCGUCCCUUUAAAUGUUUGGCAUGUGGGAAAACUUUUUUCCAAAAACACCAUGUAAAAAGACAUUUGUUGAUCCAUUUUGCGAUAUAUCAUUAUAAGUGCCCAACAUGCGAAAAAUCCUUUGCAUCAAAAUACUAUAUGAAGAGACACACACUAGUUCAUACAGGAAUGAGACCUUACAAGUGCUGUACAUGUGGAAAAUCCUUUAAAACCAAAGGCAAUAUGAAGAUACAUUCAUUGUUUCAUACAGAUAAGAGACCUUUUAAGUGCUCUACGUGUGGAAAAUCCUUUACAUACAAAGGCGAUAUAAGGACACAUUCAUUGGUUCAUAGAGAAGAGAGACCUUACAAGCGCUCUACAUGUGAAAAAUACUUUAAAUCCAAAGGCGAUAUGGUGAGACAUUCAUUAGCUCAUAUAGGAGAGAGACCUUACAAUUGCUCUACAUGUGGAAAAUCUUUUACAUCCAAAAGCGAUAUAAAGAGACAUUCAUUGAUUCAUACAGGAGAGGGACCUUACAAUUGCUCUACAUGUGGAAAAUCUUUUACAUUCAAAGGCGAUAUGAAGAGACAUUCAUUGGUUCAUACAGAAGAGAGACCUUACAAGUGCUCUACAUGUGGAAAAUCUUUUACAUCCAAAGGCGAUAUGAAGAGACAUUCAUUGGUUCAUACAGGAGAGAGACCUUACAAUUGCUCUACAUGUGGAAAAUCUUUUACAUCCAAAGGCGAUACGAAGAGACAUUCAUUGGUUCAUACAGGAGAGAGACCUUACAAUUGCUCUACAUGUGGAAAAUCUUUUACAUCCAAAGGCGAUAUGAAGAGACAUUCAUUGGUUCAUACAGGAGAGAGACCUUACAAUUGCUCUACAUGUGGAAAAUCUUUUACAUCCAAAGGCGAUAUGAAGAGACAUUCAUUGGUUCAUUCAAAAGAGAGACCUUACAAGUGCUCUACAUGUGAAAAAUGCUUUAAAUCCAAAAGGGAUAUGGAAAGACAUUCAUUUGUUCAUACAGGAGAGAGACCAUACAAGUGUUCUACAUGUGGAAAAUCCUUUAAAUCCAAAGGUCAUAUGAAGAGACAUUUAUUAGUUCAUACAGGGGAGAGAUCUUACUAGUGCUCUACAUGUGGAAAAUCCUAUAAAACUAGAACUCAUAUGCUGAAACAUUCAUUGUUUUAUACAGGAGAGAGACAUUACAAGUGCUCUACAUGUGGAAAAUCCUAUAAAGCCAAAACUCAUAUAAUAAAACAUUCAUUGGUUCAUACAGGAGAUAGACCUUACAAGUGCUCUGUAUGUCAAAAAAUAUUUACAUCGAAAGGCGAUAUGAAGAGACAUUCAUUGGUUCAUACAGGAGAGAGCCUUUAUAAGUGCUCUACAUGUGAAAAAUCCUUUACAUCCAAAGGCGAUAUGGAGAGACAUUCAUUGGUUCAUACAGGAGAGAGCCUUUAUAAGUGCUCUACAUGUGAAAAAUCCUUUACAUCCAAAGGCGAUGUGGAGAGACAUUCAUUUGUUCAUACAGGAGAGGGACCUUACAAGGCUCCACAUGUGAAAAAUCCUUUACAACCAAAGUCAAGACAAAAAAGAAUUAAAGCAACAGAUUAAAUUGAUUUAAGAAGUAAUAUAAUGCAAAAGAAGAAUAAAAAAGACAAGAGAAAAAGUAAAAGUGUAUUGUAAAAAUAUCUAAUACGCAUUGCAAGAUUUGACUAUGAGGUGAUUCAAUGUUGAGUGAAAGAGAUAGCCUAUCAUGUAACUACUAGCCACUUAACAAGGCCUACAAACAAGUUUUAGUUACAUACGAAUUAAUGACUUCCCUAAUUAAUUAGUUACUACCUAAUGUGAUAAGAUUAAUAGAAAUAAAAGGGCCAAGAGUAGAAAUGCUACCUUGCAUAAACAAAUUUUCUCUUGAAUGUCCAAUAUGUAGGCAAAGUUGUUCAACUCAAUCCACAAUGAAGGCUCAUAUAUUGUAUCACACGGGAGAGCAUCCCUUUAAAUGUUUAUCAUGUGGGAAAACCUUUUUCCAAAAAUACCAUGUAAAAAGACAUUUGUUGGUACAUCAUAAGUGCCCAGCAUCUGAAAAAUCCUUUGGAUCAAAAGACUAUAUGAAGAGACACACACUAGUUCAUACAGGACAGGGACCUUACAAGUGCUCUAUAUGUGGAAAAUCAUUUAAAUUAAAAAGCGUCAUGAAGAAACAUUCAUUGAUUCAUACAGGAGAGAGACCUUACAAGUGCUCUACAUGUGGGAAAACCUUUAUAUCUAAAUACAAUAUAAAGCUACAUUCAUUGGUUCAUACGGGAGAGAGACCUUACAAGUGCUCUACAUGUGGAACAUCCUUUACAACCAAAAGCAGUAUGAACAAACAUUCAUUGGUUCAUACGGGAGAGAGACCUUAUAAAUGUUCUACAUGUGGAAAAUCCUUUACAUCCAAAGGCGAUAUGAAGACACAUUCAUUGGUUCAUACAGGAGAGAGACCUUAUAAGUGCUCUACAUGUGGAAAAUCCUUUACAUCCAAAGGCAGUAUAAACAAACAUUCAUUAGUUCAUACAGGAGAUAGACCUUACAAGUGCUCUACAUGUGGAAAAUCCUAUAAAACAAAAGCCCACAUGAUGACACAUUCAUUGGUUCAUACAGGAGAGAGACCUUACAAUUGCUCUACAUGUGGAAAAUCAUAUAAAACCAAAUCUCAUAUGAAGAUACAUUCAUUGGUUCAUACUGAAGAAAGACCUUACAAGUGCUCUACAUGUGAAAAGUCCUUUAAAUCCAAAGGCGAUAUGAAGAGACAUUCUUUG